GAUGAACGCUGGCGGCGUGCUUAACACAUGCAAGUCGAACGGAAAUGCCCCUUCGGGGGUACUCGAGUGUCGAACGGGUGAGUAACACGUGCGUAACCUGCCCUUGACUUCGGGAUUACUUCAGGAACCUGGGGCUAAUACCGGCAAGGAAUCCUUGCUGCAUGGUGGGGGUUGGAAAGCUUCGACGGUUUUGGAUGAACUCGAGGCGUAUCAGCUUAUUGGUGGGGUAGUGGCUUACCAAGGCUUUGACCGGUAGCCGGCCUGAGAGGGCGACCGGCCACAUAGGAACAGAGAUUCGGCCAGAGUACAUACGGGGGGCAGGAGGGAGGAAUGUUGCACGAUGAGCGCAAGCGUGGUGCAGCAAGGCCGCGUACCGGAUGACGGCCUUAGUAUUGUAAACCGCAUUAAGAAGGGGAGACGCAUGUGGUGACGGUACCUGAUGAGAAAGCACCGGCUAACUACGUG
This 465-nucleotide ribosomal RNA is filed under the name uncultured bacterium. RNAcentral describes it as "partial 16S ribosomal RNA". It matches the Rfam family "Bacterial small subunit ribosomal RNA", at positions 28 to 507 of the family's 1533-position model. The record is from RNAcentral.